This 803-nucleotide long non-coding RNA is filed under the name Mus spicilegus (steppe mouse). Its description in RNAcentral is "lncRNA (ENSMSIG00000012170.1)". The record is from RNAcentral. Lineage: Eukaryota; Metazoa; Chordata; Mammalia; Rodentia; Muridae.
GUAGGAAUUACAUUUUGAACUUCGAGUUUUGAUCUUUCCCCAGGUUAACCAGAUAUAGGACUCCUCUGUCUUGCUACGAUGGACAGCCACAGGGAUUCACUUGAAUAAAAGAAGCAACAGUGGGUGCCAGGCUGUUUGAAAUGUGCUGUUUUGUUAUACAUUUAUUACAAAGAAUCUCACAAAAAGAAAAUAUCUCAAAAAGAAUGCCAGGUUAAAGAACCUCCACCUGGAGAACUGGGGGAAGGCAGGGCAAUAAUAUCAACGUCAACAUACAGCACCCUCUGGCCAUACUUUAGCAGUUCCAGGAUGGCCAAGACGACAUCGUUGAUGUAACAGAAACCUGAGGCAUCAGACUUCUUUACAUGAUGCAGUCCCCCAGCCUGGCUUGCUGUAUUUAGACACAUUAUCUGGGCGAAUAGAGCACAAGAGUUUAAUGUAGUCAUCACUGUGGGACUAGGUCAUCUCCUCAGCAUUGGCUCUGUGAGGACGAUAGAUUUCCAUUUUUUUGGUAGAGAUGUAGUUGAGCUGCAAAUCACGAGUCAUGUGGAUUCGGUGAGGCUUCAUUGGGUGGCCCUGUCCAUAAGAUAGUUUCCAACAUCCCUGUUAACAGACGUUCCUCUUGCCCUGAGUCUGUGCCAUCUUUCUCACCACCCAGUGCUCCUGCCAGUCUGAUGUUUUAAUAUUUUUAGAUGGUAAUGCUUUGAGUUUAAAUGGCCUUUGACAAAUUCUAUCCUAAUUUCUAAUUAAGACAAGGAAAGAAAACAAAUAUGGAUAAGGAACAUAAAGUAAUGAAUGGACUGGAA